This 487-nucleotide ribosomal RNA is filed under the name uncultured bacterium. RNAcentral's name for it is "bacterial SSU rRNA". It matches the Rfam family "Bacterial small subunit ribosomal RNA", at positions 30 to 512 of the family's 1533-position model. The record is from RNAcentral.
AUUGAACGCUGGCGGCAGGCCUAACACAUGCAAGUCGAGCGAGAAAGGUCUUCGGACUGAGUACAGCGGCGGACGGGUGAGUGAUGCGCAGGAAUCUACCUGGUAGUGGGGGAUAACUCGGGGAAACUCGAACUAAUACCGCAUACGCCCUACGGGGGAAAGCGGGGGACCUUCGGGCCUCGCGCUAUCAGAUGAGCCUGCGUAGGAUUAGCUUGUUGGUGAGGUAAAGGCUCACCAAGGCGACGAUCCUUAGCUGGUCUGAGAGGAUGAUCAGCCACACUGGAACUGAGACACGGUCCAGACUCCUACGGGAGGCAGCAGUGGGGAAUAUUGCGCAAUGGGCGAAAGCCUGACGCAGCCAUGCCGCGUGUGUGAAGAAGGCCCUUGGGUUGUAAAGCACUUUCAAUUGGGAAGAAAGGUUAGCGUGUUAAUAGCACGUAGCUGUGACGUUACCUUUAGAAGAAGCACCGGCUAACUCCGUGCCAGC